CUGAAUCCCAUUUUCUUUGAGAAGUUGCCAUACUGAUUUCCAAAGUGGCUCUACAAGUUGGCACUCCCACCAGCAGUAAACAAGGAGGAUCCAAAAAGAGACAAACUUUGUCCCCUGGAGAAGAGGAUAGGGUCACCAUGCCCUGAGCAAUUUGAGAACAUGGGAAGAGGGGGGAGGGAGCUACGAGAAUGAGAAGGUCUAAAAGUUGCCAGGGAGUUCCAUACAGCCUGGACUGCAAAGAAACAACCAGCUACCCCAGGACAUGGCAGCACUCGAAACUUCUUAGGUCCCCCAAAGAUGGUCAAUGCCCCCCAUGUCAAAAGGAAGCAGUCUUAAGAAUUUGAUGCCCUUAUUCCUUAUUCUGCCAUGUCCAACACCCC
RNAcentral lists this long non-coding RNA (380 nucleotides) under Cricetulus griseus (Chinese hamster). Its description in RNAcentral is "lncRNA (ENSCGRG00015037121.1)". The record is from RNAcentral. Lineage: Eukaryota; Metazoa; Chordata; Mammalia; Rodentia; Cricetidae.